GCAUCGUUAGUUCCAAUUGGCAGAACGUUGGUCUCCAAAACCAAAUGUUGUACGUUCGAAUCGUACACGGUGCGCCA
Molecule: transfer RNA, 77 nt
Filed under: bacterium
Lineage: Bacteria
Description: tRNA-Trp
Rfam family: tRNA
About the family: Transfer RNA (tRNA) molecules are approximately 80 nucleotides in length.
Source: RNAcentral